RNAcentral lists this long non-coding RNA (1524 nucleotides) under Anas platyrhynchos platyrhynchos (common mallard). RNAcentral's name for it is "lncRNA (ENSAPLG00000024776.1)". The record is from RNAcentral. Lineage: Eukaryota; Metazoa; Chordata; Aves; Anseriformes; Anatidae.
GGCGGCGGCGAUGGCGGCGCGGUGCGGUGCGGAUCCCGCCGCCCGGCCCCGGCAGAGUUUGGUGCCCUACUUCGGCCGACUUUAGUUUCACUCACUUCACAUCCGGGCUUUUUCCCUAGGCAAUGGGCGCCGCAGCACAGCCCGUUCCUUAGGCAAAGGGAAAUAAAUUCGCCGCACCGACGCCGUCAAGUAGUCCCCCUCAGGAGGAGCCGCCGAGCCCGCCCUCACCGCCCCCCCCCCCACACACACCGAGCCCCCAUCCCCUUCACGGGGCUGUCCCCGCUGGGUGCGUGUGGGGGCGGCGAGCCGCGCACCCCCCCCCCCCUCCUCCCCCCUUCACCCUCCUCUCCCCUCAUCCCCGCUCCCUCAGGGCUCCGGUGCGCGCGCCCGGCGGGGCGUCGGGAGCGCGCGUGGCGAGGCAGCGAGCGGAGCGAGGGAGGGAGGGAGGGAGGGAGGCCGGCGGCGGAGGGAUCCCGCGGCGCGGUGCUGCGGCCGGGCCGGGUGAAUGGGAUUGAAGAAGAGUUGAAGCUUCCCGGCUUGUUUUUGUGUCACAGUUUCUCUCCUCCGGCGCCCCGCCGAGCUCCUCUGCCUCCCUCCCCGCCCAGCUCCCCCCUCCCCGUCAGGAGGAGCCCCCCGCCGAGGAGGAGAAGGAGGAGGAGGAGGAGGAGGAAGGGGGGGGAAAGGAACAGGACCCCCGAGAGCCGAGCGAAGAGGAGGAGGAGGAGGAGGAGGAGGAGGAGGAGGGAGCAACCUACCAUCUUCCACUCCCCGCUUAGCUUAAAGAAAAGUGCGAGGAGGAGAGCCAGGGGCGCCCAGCAGCGGGCAGCCCCGCCGGAGCGGCCUCGCCAGCACCCCCCUAUGAAGAAGAGCUCUGCCCCCACACAGGGAGGUCCUGCCCGGGGGACCCCGGCCGGCCCGCAGCAGCACCGCCGCCGCCAGCAGGGUGUAGUAUCCCGCCUUCCUCCUCCUCCUCCUCAUCCUCCUCUUCCUCAUCCCCUUGCCUGCCCCCCCCACCCCCUCACCCCCCCCCGACCCCCGCCGCCACUCUCCGGCCAACUUGGCGCUGAGGAGCACCAACUUCGCCUCAGCCCCUCCCCGGGGGCUGAAGGGGGGGGGGUGUCCUGUGGGUGUCCCCUCUCUGUGUGUGUUUGUGUCCCCCCCCUCCUCCUUCCUCCUCCUCCUCCUCCUCCUUCCCCCCCUCCUCUUCCCUCUUCCCCUUCCCCCGGCGGGCGCCGGCAGAAGUUUGGGAGCGGGCGAGGAUUGAGGAGGAGGAGGAGGAGGAGGAGGAGGGUGACACUUGGGGUGAAAGGAGGAGGUGACACAUUGGGGUUGGGGGGAGGAGCAGGGGAAGGAGAUGACACAUUGCACCGGGGAGGGAGGGAGGGGAGAGGGAGGGAGGGAGGGAGGGGGAGAGGGAGGGGUGGGGGAGGGAGGGAGGGAGGCAGCCUGGUCCCCUCCCCUCCGGGGUUCGCCGGGAUGAUGAUUUCCAGGCCCUUUUUCUCUCGGCCGGGUCCUUCGCCGUGA